This 432-nucleotide ribosomal RNA is filed under the name uncultured bacterium. Its description in RNAcentral is "partial 16S ribosomal RNA". It matches the Rfam family "Bacterial small subunit ribosomal RNA", at positions 31 to 506 of the family's 1533-position model. The record is from RNAcentral.
AAAGAACGCUGGCGGCAUGCCUAACACAUGCAAGUCGAACGAGACCUUCGGGUCUAGUGGCGCACGGGUGCGUAACGCGUGGGAACCUGCCCUUAGGUUCGGAAUAACUCCCCGAAAGGGGUGCUAAUACCGGAUAAUGUCUUCGGACCAAAGAUUUAUCGCCUUUGGAUGGGCCCGCGUUGGAUUAGCUAGUUGGUAGGGUAAAAGCCUACCAAGGCGACGAUCCAUAGCUGGUCUGAGAGGAUGAUCAGCCACACUGGGACUGAGACACGGCCCAGACUCCUACGGGAGGCAGCAGUGGGGAAUAUUGGACAAUGGGCGAAAGCCUGAUCCAGCAAUGCCGCGUGAGUGAUGAAGGCCUUAGGGUUGUAAAGCUCUUUUACCCGGGAUGAUAAUGACAGUACCGGGAGAAUAAGCUCCGGCUAACUCCGU